Molecule: RNA transcript, 3334 nt
Organism: Olea europaea var. sylvestris
Lineage: Eukaryota; Viridiplantae; Streptophyta; Magnoliopsida; Lamiales; Oleaceae
Gene name: pentatricopeptide repeat-containing protein At2g17140
Exons: 3
Source: RefSeq, a predicted model, not a curated record
AAAAUUGGUCGAGAUGGUUAUCUUCCUCUGCCUUGUCCUUUUCCCUGGGAUCUCCCACCACACUUGCGGCACCCCACCUGCCGCCAUCCCAUCACCGCUGCAAUCCCUAACCAUCACCAGAGAGGAAUAAACCAAUUCAUACAAUUCUAUUUGCAGACCCGAAGACCGCUGCCGCUGCAGCCCCUGAGAAAAAUGGUCGCUACUCACCUGAACCCCAUAAUUACCACAUUCUCAGAUCUUUGAUCAUAAUUCACCACCUUUCCCGCGAAUCCCAUAACAACCUUUCAAAUCAAAAUCCAUUCACAAUGGACCGAGCAAAAACACUGGCAAAAGCUCUGGUCAAGAACUCAAAUAACCCCACACUCGCAUGGCAGCUCUUCAAGCGUACUCUCUGUAACAACUAUAAUAAUGUAUUGAUAAAUGAUGAUGAUCAUGAUGAUCUCCACUCCUUCCAAUAUUCUCUCCCUCUCAUAACACGCAUUCUUAUUCGCGCCCACAUGUUUACAGAAAUUGACACACUGCACAAUCAUCUCCUCGUCUCUCAACCCCCAAAAACCCCACAUAAUUCUUUAUAUUGCAUUGUCAAAAUGUUGGCAAAGUCCGGUUACAUUGACAAGGCCUUGUCAAAUUUUCAAUCUAUUCGCACGCAUUUCCGGAAUGACCCACCUUCCAUAUCCCUGUACAAUCUUCUUAUUCAAAGUUCUCUUAAACAAAAUUAUUCAGAUUAUAUGUCCUGGUUAUAUAAAGACAUGAUUUUUUCGUCAGUGAAGCUGGAAACUUACAGUUUCAAUCUUUUGAUCAGUGGGCUGUGUGAUUCGGGUAGGUUAGAUGAUGCCCAGAAACUGUUUGAUAAAAUGCGAGACAAAGGUUGUGAACCUAAUGAGUUUAGUUUUGGGAUUUUGAUUCGUGGGUAUUGCAGACAUCGACUUUAUUCUAAAGGAUUGGAGCUUUUGCAUUUGAUGAAGAAAAUGGGUGUUUCUCCUAAUAUGGUGGUGUAUAACACAUUGAUCGCGAGUUUCUGUAAGGAGGGAGAGAAUGAUGAAGCUGAGAGAUUAGUGGAAAGAAUCAAGGAGGAUGGCCUUACUCCAAAUGUUGUCACGUUUAACAUUAGGAUUUCUGCUCUUUGUGACACUGGAAAGAUUUUAGAAGCCUCGAGAAUAUUUAGGGAUAUGCAAAUUGAUGAGUUAGGAUUGCCGAAGCCUAAUGAAGUGACAUAUAAAUUGAUGUUGGAGGGUUUUUGCAGGCAGGGGAUGUUGGAUGAAGCAAAGACUUUAUUUGAGUCUAUGGAAAGAGAUGGUCUUUUUCCAAAUGUGGAGAGCUAUAACAUAUUGCUGUUGGGUUUCGUGAAGAAUGGGAAGCUUUUGGAUGCUCAAUCAGUCCUUAAAGAGAUGAUGGACCAUGGUGUGGAGCCGAACUUAUACUCAUUCAAUACUCUGAUUGAUGGGCUAUGCAAGAAUGAUAUGCUUGCUGAUGCCAGAGCAGUUAUAGGUUUGAUGAUCACGAGCGCAGUUUCCCCUGAUACAGUCACUUAUAGCACUCUGCUUCAUGGGUAUUGCAGAAAAGGAAAGGUAAUUGAUGCCAAUAAUGUUCUACAUGAUAUGAAAAGGGCUGGAUAUUUUCCCAACACUUACACUUGCAAUAUACUGCUGCACAGUAUGUGGAGAGAAGGUAAAAUAGCCGAAGCAGAGAUGUUACUGCAAAAGAUGAAUGAAACAGGGAACGGAUUGGAUCCUGUGAGCUGUAAUAUUGUGAUUGAUGGUCUGUGUAGAAAUGGGAAGGUUGAUAAAGCAGUUGAAAUUGUGAGUGAAAUGUGGACUCAUGGAAGUGCUGCUCUUGGCAACUUGGGAAAUUUAUUUAUUGGUCUAGUGGACAACAACGGGGAAAAAUGCUUACCUGACUUAGUCACUUAUUCAACUGUUAUUAAUGGGUUAUGCAAGGAUGGAAGGCUUGAUGAAGCUAAAACGAAGUUUGUUGAGAUGAUGAGGAGAAACUUGUGUCCUGAUUCAAUUAUUUAUGAUAUUUUUAUACAUAACUUGUGUAAGAGAGGGAAGAUAUCAUCUGCAUUUCAGGUUCUUAGAGACAUGGAGAGAAAAGGUUGCAAAAAGACCUUACAAACUUAUAAUUCACUGAUCCUUGGUUUGGGAAGUAAGAGUCAAAUAUUUGAAAUGUUUGGCUUAAUGAAUGAGAUGAAAGAAAGAGGUGUUUCUCCUGAUGUUUACACUUACAACAAUGUUCUUUGCUGUCUAUGUGAAGGAGGAAGAAGUGAAGAAGCUACUUCUCUUUUAGAUGAGAUGUUGCAAAAUGGGAUAACACCCAACAUAUAUUCCUUUAAAUUGUUAAUAAAAACUUUCUGCAGGACUGGUGAGUUCAGACCAGCACAAGAGGCAUUUGAAAUCGCCCUUAGCUUAUAUGGCCACAAAGAAGUACUUUAUUGUCUAAUGUUCAACGAAUUGCUUGCCGGAGAGGAGAUCUUGGAAGCUAAGCAAUUGUUUGAAUCUGCAUUAGACAAAUGUUUUGAUUUGGGAAGCUUUCAUUAUGGAGAUCUCAUAAAUAGACUGUGUCAGGAAGAAAAUAUAGAAUAUGCUCUUGAAAUCAUCAAGAAAAUGAUGAAGAAAGGAUUGAAGUUUGAUCCUGCAUCAUUCAUACCAGUGAUUGAUUGUUUAGGUCAAAUUGGAAAUAAGCAUGAGGUUGAUGAACUAACAGAGAGGAUGCUGUCAAUGGCUUCCGAAAGUGAGAUGGGAAAUAAGAUUAACCGGCAUCACAGGGAGUUAAUUAGUGGGAAACAAAAUAAAUAUAGUGGAAGUGAGUGGCAAGCCAUUCUGCAGAGAGAUGAUGGCAGUGGGAUAGCCGUGAAAACUCUGAAGCGUGUGCAGAAAGGCUGGGGUCAAGGAAGUUUAUCGUAUUUGCAAGCCAAGAAAAAUGACUUUAUUGAUUAUUGGGAUGCUACUGGCUAAAAUUUCCUAUUAUUCAAGACACCUGCUCAAAGUUUCCCUAAGGUGAGGCAGUUUAAUGGUAACGCUGUUUCAUUUUCAUAGUGGCUGAAGGCAUGAAGCAUGAUUUAUUUUCUCUUCCCUAUGGUUCUGGCAAGCUUUUGAUUUUGAUUCAUUGUGGAGUCUCCUUCAAUCUACAUUAUCAGAGAAAACAAGUUCUGAAACUUUUGUCACGUGUAGACACCUUGGGCACAAGUUUCGCUUUCAUUCCUUUUUCACUCAGUCAAGAGUAGGAAGCUAUCUGAUGUGAUGUAAUGCUCCAGACCAGCCUACAAUUGGUCCUGAAACGUUAAAAAUUUUGGAUAUCCUUGGAAGGCAGAGUGUUGUAGCUUUGACAUAAUGAU